Long non-coding RNA from Astatotilapia calliptera (eastern happy), 2051 nucleotides. The record is from Ensembl. NCBI's taxonomy places the organism in Eukaryota, Metazoa, Chordata, Actinopteri, Cichliformes, Cichlidae.
GGAAAAAACAGCAGCCGACAGCCUGUAAACAACGUAGACUUGUGCGUAACAAGCAAGCGAAUAAUGAAGAAAGCCGAUUUUUAGACGGGAAACUGUUGUUAGAGAGAGAGCUGUGCAUGACGUGUGAUUUUAUCCUGGUGGAAGCAAAACAGUAAAAGUCAGAGAAUCCAUGACGAUCUUUGUGUUCACGUCUCUGUGCAGAGUCCGUGCUCCUGCUCUCAUUUACUGUUUCAGCUGUUUGGUGGUUGUUGAUAUUUUGUGAGGUUUCACCUGAGAUUCUGGUUUUUGGGCAAAAUUCAAUACAUUUAUAUUAAAAAAAUCAGGAUUUUAAUGAAUCGAUAUCACGUUAUCCAAGCGAGAAUCGAUUUUAAUCGAUGAAUCGAUUAUCAAAACCCAGCCCUAAUAGACACCCAUGAUUACUCAAGAAUGAGGUGACAUAGGAUUUUAAAAUUCAUAUCAUCAGUGCAGCUAUUAAAAGUUUAGGAUGAGUUUAAAUUCUGUUGACCCCAAGGUCAGAGGUCAAGUUUUCAGAAGAAUUUUCAAAUGUAUUCUGUAGAAGCUUUUAACCAUGAGGCUGAAGGGUGCUGGCAGCUGUUGGUUGGCUUGCAUGGAUCAUUCAAAAAUGAAAAAAGUCGUAAAGUGGAGCAUGAUCAAUGAGGAUUGUUUGUAGUUUGUACUUCAUGACUGUAAAAUAAUAUCAGUGUAGCAUCUCCUCACAGUUUCACUUUGAAAGCAUCUUCAUUAAUGUUGCCAGCUGGAAGGGAUCUCAAAGCUGCUUUGUAGGUGGCACAGUUUGUGAUAAAGCUACCAAAGGUCCACAAAGCAGUAAUUCCACUCAGACCCAUCUCACCACCGUCCCAGCUCCCCCAUGUGGGGAACACACCCCAUCACAUCAAAAACUCUACUGUCCUCACCAACAAGGUCCAAAAGCUUUCACUGAAUAAAGAUGAAACCACAGCGUCCUCUGAUCUCCCUUUUCACGUGUAUACCUACAACCAUAGUCCGUGUAGGUGGAGACAGAAAACAACUACAACAACACAGAAACAGCUUCACCCCCGAUCAGAUUUGCACACUGCUAAACCUCUGACACCCUUAAAUAUGAGGGUUUCUAUGGACACAAACAUCAACAGCGACCUUUACAUGGAAGAAGUGGAAAAUAAAGCUCUUGGCUCUGUUAAAGGGAAAGCACCUAACCACUACAGGUGGAUGACACCUGGCUCAAGACUAAAAGCACGAAGCAUGAGCCUCGCUGCUCACUGAGGAAAACAGAAACCUCAACACUGAAGUUCACAGGAAGCCCACACACACAGACCAGGACCUACUCUGUGACUCCCAUCACUCUCUGGAAUAAUCAGGACGCUGCAACUACCAAACGUGUGCAUCACACUACACUUUUAUUUUUCUUUCUGUAAAUAUAGGAUAUAAUUUACAGGGUAAUAAAGAAUUGGUUUUGGUUUAGAGUUAAUUUAUUUAUACAGUCACACAAUACUGUAAAGCAAGUGUGCACAUGUUAGCUUACACUGCUAUUUGUAUGAUUUAAUCUUUCUCUGUUUUCUGCGUUACGUCAGUGGCAGCUGCUCCAGUCCCUGGUUGAUGAGCUAGGAGGUGGAAAAGGGGGCGGAGCAAGCCUAUAUGGAGACCUGCAAAUUGGGUCAUACUACUACUCUGGAUCAUGGGGGGGGGGGUAAAUGGAAUUUGUUAUGUUAGUUUCAGUUAGGUUUUUGUGUGUUCUUUUUGUGUCUUUGUAGGCUGAUCAGACAUUAUUUAAGUCUCCUUCAGAAGGUCAGUUUGUUUGUGUUAGUAUUGUUUGUUGCCAGCUUUUGAGUCCAGUUCUGUUACUUGACCUCUUUUAUGGACCUGAGAUUUAGAUUCAUGUAUAAUUUAACCAAAGUUUGGGGUUUUUGCGUUAAAUAAAAAACCUUUUUUUGGACUAACCGGUGGCAGACUUUCAUUUACUGCUCAGUCCAUCAGGAAUACAAUCAAUUCAGUGUUGAACAUAUUAUAUUUACUUUAUUGCCAAAGUGUGAUAGACUCUAGUCUCCAGAAGUACA